GAUGAACGCUGGCGGCGUGCCUAAUACAUGCAAGUCGAGCGAACGGACGAGAAGCUUGCUUCUCUGAUGUUAGCGGCGGGCGGGUGAGUAACACGUGGAUAACCUACCUAUAAGACUGGGAUAACUUCGGGAAACCGGAGCUAAUACCGGAUAAUAUUUUGAACCGCAUGGUUCAAAAGUGAAAGACGGUCUUGCUGUCACUUAUAGAUGGAUCCGCGCUGCAUUAGCUAGUUGGUGAGGUAACGGCUUACCAAGGCAACGAUGCAUAGCCGACCUGAGAGGGUGAUCGGCCACACUGGAACUGAGACACGGUCCAGACUCCUACGGGAGGCAGCAGUAGGGAAUCUUCCGCAAUGGGCGAAAGCCUGACGGAGCAACGCCGCGUGAGUGAUGAAGGUCUUCGGAUCGUAAAACUCUGUUAUUAGGGAAGAACAUAUGUGUAAGUAACUGUGCACAUCUUGACGGUACCUAAUCAGAAAGCCACGGCUAACUACGUG
This 497-nucleotide ribosomal RNA is filed under the name uncultured bacterium. RNAcentral describes it as "partial 16S ribosomal RNA". It matches the Rfam family "Bacterial small subunit ribosomal RNA", at positions 28 to 507 of the family's 1533-position model. The record is from RNAcentral.